AGACUGGUUGUCUUCUCAAGAUUCUUUGGCGCAUUCACGAAAGCAAUCUAUUAGAUAUUAUAAACCAAGUGUUAAAUAUAUGAAGGGUCAUCCAAAAUCUGGUUCUUUAAGCUGGUAUAACUCACAUCAGACUGAUAAAAGAAGUGGAAUUUACAGAAAGCACAAAACUUGGAAAAGAAAUGAAGAAUAUGAUGAGGCUGAACGGGCAAAUGAUGAUGAUCCAUCAGAAGAUUGGGUGAAUAUGGCAGAC
This 250-nucleotide unclassified non-coding RNA is filed under the name Hevea brasiliensis (rubber tree). Lineage: Eukaryota; Viridiplantae; Streptophyta; Magnoliopsida; Malpighiales; Euphorbiaceae. The record is from RNAcentral.